This 117-nucleotide small nuclear RNA is filed under the name Papilio xuthus (Asian swallowtail). RNAcentral describes it as "U5 spliceosomal RNA". It matches the Rfam family "U5 spliceosomal RNA". Rfam says of the family: U5 RNA is a component of both types of known spliceosome. The precise function of this molecule is unknown, though it is known that the 5' loop is required for splice site selection and p220 binding, and that both the 3' stem-loop and the Sm site are important for Sm protein binding and cap methylation. Lineage: Eukaryota; Metazoa; Arthropoda; Insecta; Lepidoptera; Papilionidae. The record is from Rfam by way of RNAcentral.
UUACUCUGGUUUCCCUUCAAAACGUACAAAUCUUUCGCCUUUUACUAAAGAUUUCCGUGGAGGGGAACACUCAAAUGAGUCUAUAAUAUUUUUGAUCAACCCUGCUUCGGCGGGGCA